RNAcentral lists this ribosomal RNA (159 nucleotides) under Plagiochila repanda. Its description in RNAcentral is "5.8S ribosomal RNA". It matches the Rfam family "5.8S ribosomal RNA". Rfam says of the family: 5.8S ribosomal RNA (5.8S rRNA) is a component of the large subunit of the eukaryotic ribosome. The record is from RNAcentral. Lineage: Eukaryota; Viridiplantae; Streptophyta; Jungermanniopsida; Jungermanniales; Plagiochilaceae.
UAACGACUCUCAGCAACGAUAUCUUGGCUCUUGCAACGAUGAAGAACGCAGCGAAAUGCGAUACCUAGUGUGAAUUGCAGAAUUCCGCGAAUCAUCGAGUCUUUGAACGCAAGUUGCGCCCGAGGCUUGUCCCGAGGGCAUGCCUGCCUGAGCGUCACC